AGGAGUCACUCACCCAGGAUACACCCACAUGUUGGAUUUCAACACUUUAGAUGAUAAAGCAUAUCCCACUGAAAGCAAAACUGGCCUGAGAGAAGCACAACUUAGCUACGCUAACCUCAGCUGAAUAUGACAGGCUAGCAAAGUUGGAAACACUGCUGGAGCCAUGCAGGAGGAAUCGACACUACCCAAAGAAAACCCAUGCAGACACAGGGAGAACAUGCGGACUCCAGAAGAGUGCAAGCAGUUUACCUCUUUAUGAAUGGGACUAAAGAUCAGAGACCAGCUGCGAUGUUAAGGUUACGUCAUGGAAGGUGCACCUGCUGCUGUAGACUACUUUUCUACAGGGUGGGAUCUUUAUAACAAUUCUCUUCAGUUAAAUCGUCAUCAGGACCGAGUGAGGGCAAGAAACAUGGUACAUUAUACGACAAGUCCUCCAAGUGAAAUGACAGAAUACCUCCUUUGUCCAUGCCCUCCGUUCACAGAUGGGUUUGCUGAUUUGACGUCCCGAUUGGCGGCAUAGUUGGAGCCACGAUGAAUGGCAACCCCUUGUUCUCCCUCUUGAAAUGACAACCGCAGAAUAUCAAACGCCAAUUAAAGAGGAGACAGGCUCGGCGGGAGGAGUGGCAUCUAAUUCUCAUCAAUGUGAUCGGUGGAGGGAAAGGAAAAACAGCAGCGAGAAGGGUCACUUUGAGAGGGUGAUCUGGCCAUUCUGAGAUAUUAAAAGGGAAAGGCGGUGCGCAGGUGCUAACAGAGGCAAUAUUCGAGCUGCUGGGACUAAAUGAGAAGUGAAAAGUCUCCGAAAUCUGGUGGCAGAAACGGGUGAACUCCAGUUUGUUCUGUGUGUACGUGGCUGUGUGCUGUUUAUGUAGCUUGCUCUGUGCAAGGCCAUUUUUUUUUUCAGACUGAGCAUAUUAUGGCCGGGCUUUAGAGGAGGCUCAGCACUCAGGGUUUAGUUACAUGGAUUUGGAUAAUGCUGCGGUGUGGAUUAACUCAACAAGGAGUAGUUCCAUCAAAAUUUGCUCCCAGCAACGCCAGUUGUCUCUCGCUGGCGAACGUCACCAAUGGCCUACACCCAAGAGACAUCUGGAAUUUUUUUGUUAUGACUACAGGGUCACUUUUUGGAUUGGUUGGGUCACUGGUUCAUGCUGUUGUAACAUUUACUAUGUGAAAGUAUCUAUGCUAAACUAAGCCAAUGACCUACCGUUCCACUACCAUCCUUAAAAGACAGACACAGUACCUUACAGAGCUGUCAUAUAUAGAUAUAUAAAUAUUUGAUUGGACACUGCUUGGAUGUAUCAGACAAAACCUGACAUUCAGCUGUGAAUGAGAAAUGUUUGUAACUGCUUCCUGUUCCUGUGCAUGUCCAGUGUACAUGUCAGUAUGGAGUGAGAGUACUUCUGAUACGGUCCUAAAAAAGCUCAAAUGAAUAAGUUGUUUUAUUGUUGUAGCUUCAUAAGACAUUUAGAGGUUGUCUGGGAUGCAAGUGGCCAUAUUCAUAUCUGUGUGAACACAAAUGUUUCAUAUUGAGGACCACCUACUCAGCUGACAUCUUCUGACCUGCUACAGUUUCACAAUGAGCCAAAAUAAUUUCCACACUUCACAGUAUUUCAUAAACACUGAUUCAUUUGUGACCUCUGACACAACAUUUUAAGUUCUCUCUCUGUUUAACACUCACUCAAACUCAACCAAAUAGACACACUGACGAGACAACAAAUGACCUAUGUUUUUAUUUGCAUAUAGAGUGUGGAAGUAACCGAAUCCAAGAUAUUCUAAUUCUACUUGUCAAGCUGUCACCUUGUCAUCAGAUCACUGGAUGCAUGUUAAUACCAGGUCUCAGCAGGGCCUGAGACCUUGAAGUUAGUCUUGAAGGAAGAUUUAUGGCCAUAGCUUGUUGCCUCUGACUGGAGUUCACCAAAGUUCACUGUUGACUUCUUCAGUGUCAUAAUGAGGAGACAAACUUUUUCAAACCAUUAUCAAGUCUUUAACCGAUAUUAAAGCAGACAUUGCAGGAAAAAUAAUGAAAUAUGUUAAAAUUGAUGUUUUUUGGCACAUUAAUUCUACUCUGUAGAAAUUAUGAAGGAUAUAAGGAGAUCAUUUUAGCGAUUAUUAAAAAAAGCAAAACAAAAUACAGCAAACAAACCAGAUGUGAUUUAGUUGCCGGUUCUUACACAAUGUAUUGAUGUUUUUGUUUGAGAUUUUAAGAGGUUAAACAAGGUGCAGACAGAGAAAGUCUGAUAAGAAGACAGCACUUGUGUAAGGAUUGACUGAGAUCAGAUGUAAGUCUACCAUGGAUUAUAUCUGUGUAUCUCUGUAUUCGAUGCUCUUAUCUGACACCAGGGGGAAAAAAAAUUCACUCAGACUUUCUGGUUUGCUUCUUCUUAAUCAAUUCUAUUUAUUGGUUUAUGAACAUGCAAUUAUCAAUUAUGCUAUGGCUUGCAAAACAAUGAGCGUAAUACACAGAUACAAGAUUAUAGUGAUACAGAAGCCAAUUUAAUUGGUAAAAGAAUGGCAAGACACGUAAGAUUGUGUUGGAUUCAUAUAUAGUAAUUAAUCAUUUCUACAGAUUUUGAGAACCUGGAGUUUCCAGCUUCUCCCUGUCUGUCCCUUGACCAUAGGUGCGAAGGUGAGGGUGAAUGGUUUCUUGAUUCUGUAUUAUUGCCCUGUGAUACACUGGGUGUCCUCCUGUCCAGGUAGUAGCUCUCCCCAACAAUUAGCCAGGACAGGCACCAGCUCCCCCUGUGACCCUCCAAGGACUGAUGGAUGGAUGGACUUGGAACCUGGUGUCCGUGUAAUUGAGAAAGGUCUGUCAUCUUUCGAGUCAGACUUUUCUGAGGGGGUUUCACACUUUUCCGAUCGAUUAAAACUAACAUAAGAAUUGUAGGUGUGUAGUGAUCUUACAUUUGGUUCCAUGUGUAAUAAUUAUUUUCAAUUUAAAUGAUUUGUUUUCCAAACCAGCUCAUGUUUUUUUUACUAUUAAUCCUUUUACAUCCCAGCAUCACUGAGGGCUAAUGAGUUCCCAAUAUAAACCACUGCAUUCUAAAUCAUGUUCUCUGAAUUGAAAACAAGUUCAUUGUAGAAAGCCCUGUCUAUUACAGGUGUUCAUUUUAUUUCUAUCAGCUGCACCUACAACAACCUUCUGACUCAGUAUUUUAUCUCAUAUAAGAGGUUUUGCAAUAAAGUGGAUUAGAUAUUAUAAGAUGUUAUAAAUAUGAGACAAAGAACUUGUUUUGGAUGAAUUAGUUCAGGUAAUUGGAUUUGACAUGGUGCCUAAAAAUGGUUUGAUGGUGUUUGCUUUAUUGCACUGUAGCCUCUAGUAGGAUAGUCACAUCUCUGUGAUGAACCUAAUGGUUGUAUGUUGUUGUUACUCGAAGGAAUGAAAAUAACAUCCAAGUUAAAAAAAAUUGUUAUAAUUCUAGUUUGGGGAUAUUGCAUUUGUUACGUGAUCCUCUCAGGUGUAAUUCAGUCCAUUUUGGAUCAUUAGUCUCUGUGAAGUGCUGAAACAUCCAUUUGUGAUCAGACAGUGAGAAUAAAGAGUGCUUAGUUCCAACAGACAUGUCCUGACUCUGGCUCGUGAACUCAGUGAAACGUGAAUGAUGACACAUUGCAGGAUGGUUGCAGGGCGAUUUGCGGUUAAUCAUCGACCUGAUUAGCCACUGGCCCUAAGGUCUAUAGCUCAUCUCGUUAAAAUUAUAACAUAAUAGAAUAUGAAUGUGGACGUACACCAAGGCAAUUUCCUCUUCCAUCCAUAACUGUGAAAGUAGCAUGAAUCAUUAGUGGGUUGAAAGCCUGGCGGUAUGAAGCAGCCUAAGGCCAAUGCAAUAGUUUCAGUUCAUGUUCUAGACCAGAAGCUAAAGUAAAGCUCCUCUGCUACAGGCUGUCCUGGAGCUAUGGAAUACCUUCAGUUACAAUGAAAAUGGGUAGAUGCAGUUUGACCUUUACAACAACAGAAAAUGCCAAAAUACAUCAGUUUAUAAUAAAAAAAGCAAAAAACUCAUAAAUCCUCACCCUAAAGUACAAACAUUAUAUUUGGCAUUUUCUACAUGCGUGAUUGUCCAGUGGAGUUGCAAAAUAAUCAGAGGUUUUGUGAGAUAAUAAGAAAAUAAUUUUGUGUGUGCCUGUAUGUUUUAAUAAAGGCAAAAUGUAAAAUGUCUUCCGUUGUGCUGCUCUAAGGUCAGAAAUACAAGGGCUGCAAGUUGUUGUAUUUUGCAUUUUAAAAGAUGAGCCUUUCCCUCACUGUCAACAAAUCCAAUGAAAAGACCAAACCAAUAAUAUACUAGUCUGUCUUUCCAUGCAAGGGUUUAACCGUUAAAAGUCUAAAUAGAGACAAUUUCCUCCAGAACAUCAACAUGUCUAACUAGCAUUAUGAUUCAGUGCAACAUAUAUUCAAAUAUUACCUGUAAUCUGUUUAGUCCAAAAAAGUAUGAUGCAAUAAUAUUUUAACAAUGUUUACUGUCAGUUUUGUCAUUCAAGUAGAGGGAUUAUCAGUCUUAGAAGAAAAAUAAUUAAAUUAACUCAGUUUAGUUUCCCUUUUUCUCCUUUCGGUUCAACACAUCUUAACGACAUGAUAACACCUUCUUAUCUUUUCACGUGAGAUCAUUUAAAAUGCAUGCAACAGUUCUGUAAGGCUCCCGGGCCACUAACCAGGACCGUAAAUGCUAGAAAAUCAGCGCUGGUCAAAAUAAAAAUGCUCUUUUUGAAAUUGGAUUAUUCUCAAUGAUUUAUUGGUUAUAGUUCCUGGUCCACAUGCGACACGUCUUUUGGGCAGCAGGAUCUUAUAUGUGGGAUGAAGUAAAUUAACAACAACAACAAUAAUGAGACCUAUUUGCACAGAGGAGUAAAGCAUGUUGGUAACUAGGAAUGUCAAUGUGUGGAAAUGUUCCCACUGUGACAAACUCAUGUAAUGGAUCGUGGUGGCAGCUGAUGUGGCAGCUGAUAGAUUACGAUUACAACUAGAGUGUUAAAAUAUAACACAACUCUAAUUAAAAUUCUCAUUACUGCUCCCUUCAUCUCUGCCAGACUUUUUGGGGAUAUAUUCUUUAAACAUUGAUGAACCUCUCCAUUUAUUUGAAACACUGUCUCUUCUCAUCGAUGUUGUAAUUUUUUGACGUGUCAGCACCUAUUACAAUUCUGUCCACCGGAGAGGGAUCCCUCACAUGUGACUCCUACUAAGGUUUCUGACAUUUUUACCCUGCUAAAACGUUUUUUUAUUUUAGUUUUAUCUUUCUCUUGCCAGGAUGUUUUACGCCCUAUGAAACAAAUUGUGAUUUGUGAAAAUGGUCAAUACAAAUAAAAUGUUAUUGAUUAA
Molecule: long non-coding RNA, 5305 nt
Organism: Pleuronectes platessa (European plaice)
Lineage: Eukaryota; Metazoa; Chordata; Actinopteri; Pleuronectiformes; Pleuronectidae
Exons: 5
Source: RefSeq, a predicted model, not a curated record